Molecule: long non-coding RNA, 20129 nt
Filed under: Vitis vinifera (wine grape)
Lineage: Eukaryota; Viridiplantae; Streptophyta; Magnoliopsida; Vitales; Vitaceae
Description: long non-coding RNA (VVIN_LNC001201)
Source: RNAcentral
GAUAAGCUUUUUGAACAAAAUUAGCUCUACAUAUGUUAGAUGGGCUUAGAAUGUGGCCCAAUGGGGCGAGGAGCGUGAAACCCAACCUGAUUCCGAAAGGGGCCCAGCUGGUUUAGGUGUCUGUGUCACAGCAACGAGGGUGGUUGAAGAUCAAAAGAAAAAGGGGAAAGGAAAAUCCAAAAUGAGAGAGAACAAGUGUUGGAUUCUCCAUCCAACAGGUAGCAACAAACAAGGGCGUAAGUGUCACUCGUUAAGGCUGCAAUGUGUGACAGACAGGCGAGCGAGUAGGAACUUGGAACAAAAAAAUGAAAAAUGAAAAAUGAAAAAUAAAAAAAAAUAAAAAAACAGUCGCACUGCAUUUUCAGCAAAAUAAAAAGAGGCCAUACCCAAUACCUAUUGCCUGCACAGCGCAAACCCUCACUGACCAUCCCAUAUUCCCAAAUUCCAUUCCUGUGGAGGCCCACUGGAAACUNNNNNNNNNNNNNNNNNNNNNNNNNNNNNNNNNNNNNNNNNNNNNNNNNNNNNNNNNNNNNNNNNNNNNNNNNNNNNNNNNNNNNNNNNNNNNNNNNNNNGUUUGAACGGAUUUUCGCUUGGACUUUCCUAAAUCUUAUUUGGUAGAAAGCCUCUUAAGAAGUUGUAAUUUAAGCAAUCAUGCUAUUAAUAAGAAUUGCCCUAGUCUCAAAAUUUAUUGGGGGUAUUCAUAUUCGUAUUUUUGCCUUUUGCCUCGUUUUGUCCUUUGACUCGUUGUCCGUCACCUGCUCCCCUGCAUACUGCAUGUAUUCAUGUAUUUCCAUAUGAGAUGUGAACCAAUGUCAGUUAGCUCUGUUUUGGUAUAUUGUCAAAACAAAACGGUACGUAUUCCUGCGUCUUUUGGCUAGGGAGGGUGCCGCACCCUAUUAUAACUACUGACCGUUUGUGCCCCUUAUAAACAAGGGUCACUCUCUCACUCAGUUGCCAGGGGGGUUCCCCUGGACCCCCAUUUGUCACAGGCCCCUGAUCUCCACCACUGGCUCAGUGGAGUUCGGGCAUCUAUCUCCUCUCCGAUCUCUACUAAUUAUAAUGCUAACGAGGUACUAGCUUUUCUACAGGGAAGAGAGAGAAAGCAUAUAACUAAGUAAACGAAAGAUGACUCGUUCAAGCCUGUUGAGCUUGAUAGUUCAUAGAGAGGUUAACUAUUAAGAACAUGGUAGGCACCGACUCGUUAGUGAUUGGAUUUUAAGCGAUAAGCUUUUUGAACAAAAUUAGCUCAACAUAUGUUAGAUGGGCUUAGAAUGUGGCCCAAUGGGGCGAGGAGCGUGAAACCCAACCUGAUUCCGAAAGGGGCCCAGCUGGUUUAGGUGUCUGUGUCACAGCAACGAGGGUAGUUGAAGAUCAAAAGAAAAAGGGGAAAGGAAAAUCCAAAAUGAGAGAGAACAAGUGUUGGAUUCUCCAUCCAACAGGUAGCAACAAACAAGGGCGUAAGUGUCACUCGUUAAGGCUGCAAUGUGUGACAGACAGGCGAGCGAGUUGGAACUUGGAACAAAAAAAUGAAAAAUGAAAAAUGAAAAAUAAAAAAAAAUAAAAAAACAGUCGCACUGCAUUUUCAGCAAAAUAAAAAGAGGCCAUACCCAAUACCUAUUGCCUGCACAGCGCAAACCCUCACUGACCAUCCCAUAUUCCCAAAUUCCAUUCCUGUGGAGGCCCACUGGAAACUCCAUUCAUCCUCAAGCCUCUCUCAAUUUCCUAUUUAGACCAUGCCGGUGCUGGAACUCCCUGGAUCCCGCAUUCGUUGAUCGCCGCCCACCGGUGAUCUCUGCCCUUGUAUGGACACUCCCGGUCGGAAAGCGGCGGAGCCCUCCUCAGCUGCCGCUUCCACUCACUCCCUGGCUCGCUCCUCCAAGAGACCUCGUUUCCUCGCCUCUUCUUCAUCGUCGCCCAUCCCCACUCGCUCCCAUCGCAGUUCGCGACUCAUGGAAUCGGCCACUGAGGCGUCCGGUUCUAAGAAGGGCAAGGAGAAGGAAUCCGAGUUGAGGUUGAAGAUCAAAGAAAAGCAGAGAAGCUUAGGGUUAAGUAUCGAUAGCGACGAUGUGCUUGGUCGUGAUGACGACGACGAUGACGACGACGAUGAUGAUGAUGACGAGGACGACGGUGAGGGCAGUUUUGGAAUUUUGCAUCAGAAUUUGACCUCUGCGAGUAGUGCUCUACAAGGUCUUCUCAGGAAACUCGGUGCCGGACUCGACGAAUUGUUGCCGUCGGCUGCCGUGGCCGCGACGCCGGGGAGUGGGCGGCUCAAGAAGAUACUAUCCUCACUGCGGGAGGAGGGCGAAGAAGGGCGUAAAAUCGAGGCGUUGACGCAGCUCUGCGAUUUGCUAUUGAUGGGGACGGAGGAUUCGCUGUGUGCUUUUCCGGUUGACUCCUUCGUGCCGGUGCUUGUGGAAUUGCUUAAUUAUGAGAGCAAUGCGGACAUAAUGUUGCUUGCUGCUAGGGCAAUUACGCAUCUCUGCGACGUGUUGCCAUCAUCUUGCAGUGCGGUCUUGCAUUACGGUGCGGUUCGGUGUUUCUGUGCCAAGCUGCUGGAAAUUGAAUGUAUGGACUUGGCUGAACAGGUGAUUUCUUGUGGGCACAUGUAAAUUCAUUGUUGUAAAACAUUUUAUAUUAUUUGAUUGCUGACAAAAUGGAGGAAAACUACAAAAAAAAAUUAUGUUUCGGGUCUUAAUGUUAAUGUUGAAUCUUAAUGUUUAUGUUGUGGUAUUCAGUUAAGAUAAUCAUUUGAUUCGACAAAGCUGAAUGGUUUGAGACAGGCUUAGUUGAGUGGACGUUUUAGUUUUCCGAGGUCCCAAAGAAUUGAAAAUCCAAAAUUUUGAUUUUUGUUCCCUCUGUAUUCUCAGAAACAAUUGGUGAUCUUUGGGGAAAAGGCGCCGAGUUCCAAUAUCUGAUAUUUAUGUUUCUGUUUAUUGCUAGAAAACUGGGUGUCCAUAUUACGAUACACAUUUUCUUAUUGAAACAAAUUUCUUUAGCUAUAGCUGAUAAAGGGCUCUUUGUUUUCUGGUUGGGUGAAAUAAAUUUCUUUGGCUGUAGCUGAUAAAAGGCUCGCCCUUUGUUUUGUUUGUGACAAUAAGUGCAGUCUUUGCAAGCUCUGAAGAAGAUAUCCCAGGAGCAGCCUACUGCCUGUUUGCGAGCAGGUGCUCUAAUGGCAGUGCUUUCUUUUCUUGACUUCUUCCCAACAGGUGUUCAGGUAAAAUUUUGGCUAUUUACUCGUAUGCUGUGCUCCUUGGUCUUCUGGGGCCAUAUUGGGAUUUUUCUGAAGAAGUUUAUUUCCAUGUUUUCAGAGAGUAGCAUUGUCCACUGCUGCCAAUAUGUGUAAGAAACUCCCUCCAGAUGCAGCCGACUUUGUGAUGGAAGCUGUGCCUCUUUUGACAAACCUUCUUCAAUAUCAAGAUUCCACGGUAAUAAGAGUAUUGAAUUAACUUCCUCUUUUGGAUCCCAAAUUUUCAAAAUAAAACCAGAAUAAACAUGUCUGUGCUGAUAGAUGGGGUUGCGCAUCUUCAGAGGGCCAAGAUUAUUGAGCUAUAUCAUUUAAAAAUUUAUAUAAAUCAGCCGAAUUUAACUGACGCAUCCAGCUGCUUUCCUGGAAAAUGGAAUCCCAGAAUUGGGGAAGCUAUUUUAUUUGAAUUUGAAGAAAAAAGGCAUUUUAUCAGCAUAAUACCUAUAGCAUAUUGUGCUGCAAGUUUGGCACUUUCUGAAUUCAAUUUCAAGGGUCUACUUCCCAAAUACUGAACAGUGCCUUUUGUAAUCCCUUCCAUAGCCUUUUUGUAUUUAUUCUCGUAUAUAGGCUGUGUGUUAUAUUUUCAGGUGUUAGAGCAUUCUUCUGUCUGCUUGACUCGCAUUGUGGAAGCAAUUGCUUCAUCCCCUGACAAGUUAGAUGAACUAUGCAAUCAUGGACUGAUCGAACAAGUUACUGCACUUAUUUCUACAAGUAAUUCUGGAGGUGUUCAGGCAUCCCUGAGCACAUCUACAUACACGGUAGUUGAAGAUGUACACUUUCAGAUUGAUUGCUUAUCUUUGUUUGGGUCAAAUUCUGACUUAUCGGUCAUGCAGGGCUUAAUCCGGCUUCUUUCAAUAUGUGCAAAGGGGUCUCCCUUAGGAGCCAAAACUUUGCUUCACCUUGAAAUCAGUGGCAUUCUUAAAGAUAUACUUCCAGUUUCCAGCUUAAUUGGAAGUGUUUCUGUUCCCCCUUCUUUGACCAGACCCCCUGAUCAGGUAAUAUCCAUCUUCCCUUUCUACUGCUUUCCCAUAGAUUAUAAUAAAUUAUGGAUAAUAUUACAUAAGAAAAGGAAGAGUAUAAUAUAGAUAGAUAGAUGGAUGGAUGGAUGGACAGAGGGUUAGAGGGUUAUUAUGUAACUUAGUUUUUUCAACUCUGGAUACUACCUAGUGAAAUAAUGUUCCUAGUGUGUCUCUGCUGAUCCAUCCAUCCAUCUCUUUUCUCUCUCUCUCUCUCUCUCUCUCUCUCUCUCUCUCUCUCUCUUUGUAUAUAUAUAUAUUGGAUGAAUAGAUUGAGAGAGAGAGAGUUAUUAUGUAACCUAUAUUUUCCAACUCUGGAUACCACCAAGUUGAAUAAUGUACUUGGUGCAUCAUAAAACACAUUAGUAGUGCCUAACCUAAUUUCUUAAGGUGGCUAACUGCCCAAUUGGAAAACAGUUUAGAUGACUAGGCAUGAAUUUGAUAAUCAAAACACUAUGCUGAGAAGGAUAGCUCAUGUACAUGUCAGACACCAAUACUUGCUUGUUGAUGUACUUGUUAUGUAGUUGAAGUGUAGCUUUGCAUAUUAAUGAUUAAGAUGGAUGUGCCUUCUUUAAAUGAUAAAAGAGAGUACAAAAAAUGGCUUCAUAUUCAUUUCUGGUCAUUACAGCUUGUGAAUUAUGAUUCAAAUUGGGCCUUGGAUCAAGAUUUACGGAACGCAUGGGAUUUGUAAAACUAAAACAAUGCCCCUUAAAAACCUUUCAAAGGGACUCUUAAUCCCAAAAUCUCCCUUCUCUUGUUUUGGCAAACAUAAUGGGUCAUUUCAUCGAGAUGCAUGCUUGUUGCUGUUCAGUAAAUGAUGGUGGGAAAAGUUUAGGUUGGAUACCUGAUGAUGAAAAUACUCCAUGCUUGAGGUUCAUUUGUUAUUAUUCAAACUUUCCUGUGUACAUGGGUUGUGCACCCUUCUUUUUUUAUUAAGCAUCCUAUUAUCUUUUGUUUGCCAAUUAAAAAAAUUUGUUACUGCUCAAACCUCUACAGUUGGAGUUAUUUUUCAUAACGCAUCAAAGAAGUUUUACAUAAUGAACCUUGCAAAGUCUCUCUAUCAUUGGAUUUAAAUUGAUUUUCAUUUGAAUGCACAGAUUUUCGAGAUAGUGAACCUUGCAGAUGAGCUUCUCCCCCCACUACCAGAAGGAACUAUCUCCCACCUGAAUUAUUCUAGUUUUCAAAUGAGAAGUUCUGCAGGAGAGAAGUCUCCUUCCAGUGGUUCUGGUAAGGAAGAAAUUACUAAUGGAAGUAUGCCUGAGGCUUCAGCACGUGAGAAAUUAUUAUGUGAUCAACCAAAAUUUCUGCAGCAGUUUGGAGUGGAUCUUCUUCCUGUUUUAGUACAGGUUGGUACUUGUAAUGAACUUGCUUGCUCUAUAAUUUUUACUCACUCCAUUUCAUUAAUAAGGAGGUUUUGGAUUUCUUGAAGCAGGUAUAUGGGUCCACUGUGAAUGUCCAAGUUCGCAACAAGUGUCUCUCUGUCAUUGGAAAGUUAAUGUACUUCUGCACAGCAGAUAUGAUUCUAUCUUUAUUAAAUUCAACAAACAUAUCGAGGUACUUAUUUUUCUUCUUCUUGUGAGAGCAGAAUUUUUGAAACUUCAAUAUCUGAGUUUAUUAUUUGGCUUUCCAGUUUCCUAGCUGGUGUUUUAGCAUCGAAGGAUCCGCAAGUUUUGAUUCCUGGCCUCCAAAUGGCUGAGAUUCUCAUGGAAAAGCUUCCUAAAACUUUCUCCAGGAUGUUUGUGAGAGAAGGAGUGCUUCAUGCUGUAGACACACUUAUAUCUCAUGAUUUGGAAAAUGUAGGUGGUGACCAAAUAUUGUCUGCUGAAAGGGGUAAUGAUUCCAUAUCUGGAACAUCAUUGCGUUCAAGGUGUUAUCGACGGGGAAUGGGCUACUCUAAUCCAGAUGGAAGUUUUCUUGAAGAACCGAAGGGUUAUAUUUCAGUUCACAAUGGUUCAUCUUCAGCAUCAGUAGAAAUUCCAUCUAGAAAUUCUAGGAGACUGGCAGUUAGUACCCGUGCUAAAGCUUUCAAACAUAAAUACUUCCCUUCAUGCCCUGGGGAAGCUGAGGUUGGAGUUACAGAUGACCUUCUACGUUUGAAAAAUCUCUGUGUUGAGUUGAAUUUAUGUGUAAAUGAUCAAAAUACCAAGAGAAAGGGAAAAUCUAAAGCUUCAGGACCCAACUUGACCAAUCCUUCUGCCAGUAAGGAGGAAUACUUGAUUGAAGUGAUAUCUUCCAUACUGGCAGAGCUGGGCAGAGUAGAUGCUGUAUCCACCUUUGAGUUUAUUAGUAGUGGAGUUGUUGCAGCUUUGCUGAACUACUUCUCUUGUGGUGCAUUUUCCAUGGUGAGAACAUCAGAAGCUAACUUGUCUAAACUUCGACGGCUAGCAUUUAGAAGGUUUAAGUCAUUUAUUGCAGUUGCCCUUCCUUCCAGCAUUAAGGAAGGAGAUGAAACUCCCCUGAUUAUUUUAAUUCGGAAUCUUCAAAAUGCUUUAUCCUCCUUGGAGCGAUUUCCAGUUGUACUGAGCCAUUCAUCUAGGUCAUCCAGUGGAAAUGCACGUUUCUCAUCCGGACUUAGUGCACUUUCUCAACCAUUUAAGCUUCAUCUCCGUAGAGCACAAGGAGACAAAUCUCUACGUGAUUACUCUUCAAAUAUUGUAUUGAUUGAUCCAUUGGCAAGUUUAUCAGCUGUUGAAGAAUUUCUUUGGCCCAGAGUUCUGCGAAGUGAAUUGGGUCAGAAAAAAGACCCAUCAUUUGUUGAAAACUUGGAAUCUGAAACCCCAACUACAGAGACUGGUGCUUCAUUGUUUUCAACUUCUAAUCCUGCUUGUACUUAUCGCCAUCCUGCUAGAUCAAGAUCAUCAGUUGCUGUGGGAGGCACAUCUGUAGAGACACCACCGCAAGGGAGAAGUGAAAACUCAAUGCAAGGAAAGGGUAAAGCUCUUCAGGAGUCUGCUCAAGAUGAGGAAAGAGGACCUCUGACAAGAAAUAUUGCAUGCCGAGGAACUGCUUCAGAUAAAGAUUUGACCACAAAACCAGACUUUAAUCCUGAGGUAUGAUGCUGUAGUAAGUAGAGUUCGUAACUUGACUAUUCCUGAAUUUAUCAUUCUUAAUGUCAUUUUGCUAUAAGUUAGUAUAGUUCCUAAUUUGACAAUUUCCUGAACUUUUAUAUGAAGGAAUGAAUGAAUAUCUUCACUGUAGGUUUUUUAAUUCAUGUUUAUAACAUUCAGUCACUGCAUUCUUUAAUGCCCUACAAGGCUACAACCUCUGAUAUCAGAAGUCUGUGUUUCAUAUGUUAUAUAUUUUUUGUUACAUCUUGUAGGAUCGGGAAGUCAAUAUUUCUCCAGUUGAGAUUGAUGAUGGUUUGGUAAUUGAAGAGGAUGAUCUCUCAGACGAUGAAGAUGAUGCCAAUGAAGAUGUAAUUUGCCUAUUCAAUUUUUCUUUAUUUCCUUUGUCUGCCAAUUUUAUUUUGAAGCCUGUAUCAUUGCUUGUACUCAGCAGUUCUAGAUGUUUAAACGGAUAACAGUAGUUUACCAUUGGGAACAGAUGUUUUCCCAAUGCCUUCUUAGUAGUUUUGUAGUCUUGGUUACUUAGUUUAAGGUACUGUGUAAAUACAUCCUUGCCUGGUAUCUGGAAAGUGUUUGUUGGCUAUCGGUUGAGCCCUCAUUUUAUUAAACUGUUUGAUACAAUUUGAAGUGCAACAGUUCUUAACAGUAUUUUCCUUGAGGGAUUCAAUCACAUUGCUCAUAUAUUCUUUUUUUUUUUUUUUUUUCUUUUCAGGUGCUGAGAAAUGAUGUCCCAUUUUGCACAUCAGAGAAAGUGCAUGAUGUGAAAUUGGGAGAUCCUGUGGAGGAUGGUAUGGUUGCCUCUGCUGCAACUGAGGCCCAAUCAAAUCCUAGGUCUGGUUCAAAUAAUGCAGUAAAUUCUGUGCAUGCUUUUGGCUCAAAAGGUACAAUGUCAAUUGCUGCAUCUGUUGCCAUUGGCGGGUUAGUACCUCCAAACCGUGGAGGCAUUAGGAGUGGCAGAGAUAGGCAAGGAAUUACCCUGACUGGUGGCAAAAUUGAUACUCCUAAAUUAAUAUUUUCCUCUGGUGGAAAGCUGCUUAACAGGAACAUGACCAUAUACCAGGCUGUUCGACGCCAGGUUGCACCAGAUGAAGAUGAUGAUGAGAGGUAUGGCAACGAAGUUUUAGCCAGUGAUGGAAGCAGGCUAUGGCGAAAUAUUUAUACCAUCACAUAUCAGAGGGCAGACAACCAAGUAAAUAGAAUAUCAACAGGAAGUUUGAACCCAACCCCAUCAAAGAUUUCCGAAUCUAGUUGUGCUUCCAAUUCCAAUCCUGGCUUCCACUUGAAUAACAUAUCACUUCUAGAUAACAUUUUUCAAUGGGAGCUUCCUUGUGAUUUAGAAAAAAGCAAUCCCACUUAUAAUAUAUUAGCAUUAUUGCGUGUAUUAGAAUGUUUAAGUCAGAACAUACCUCGAUUGAGGGCCCAAGCCUUCUGCAAUGACUUCUCAGAGGGAAAGAUUCUGUGUCUUGAUGAUAUGAGUAUUGCCCACAUUGAAGUUCCACCUGAGAAAUUCAUCAAUAGCAAGAUCACACCCAAAUUGUCUCGACAAAUCCAGGAUGCCCUGGCAGUAUGUGGUGGUACUCUUCCCUCAUGGUGUUAUCAGUUGACCAAAGCAUGUCCAUUCUUGUUUCCUUUUGAGACCAGGAGGCAAUAUUUCUAUUCAACUGCUUUUGGGUUGUCUCGUGCGUUGAAUUGGCUUCAACAGCAACAAGGAGCUGAUGGUCAAGGCUCUGCCAGUGAAAGAGAGGUUCGUCUAGGCAGAUUACAGCGUCAGAAGGUUCGUGUUUCAAGAAAUCGGAUUUUGGAUUCUGCCAGAAAAGUGAUGGAGAUGUAUUCUAGCCAAAAGGCUGUUCUAGAAGUAGAGUAUUUUGGUGAGGUUGGCACUGGAUUGGGUCCAACCUUGGAGUUCUAUACUCUGUUAAGUCAUGAUCUACAAAAAGCUGAACUGGGGAUGUGGAGAUCUAGUUCUACAUCAGAGACACUGAUGGAUAUUGAUGAUCAACCAAAUGGGAAAUCUGACCAUUUCUCUGAUGGGGAGGAACAACCUGGCUCUGUAAAAGGAAGUGGAGUUCUUGUGCAAGCUCCUCUUGGAUUGUUCCCUCGUCCUUGGUCUCCUACUGCAGAUGCUUCUGAUGGUAGCCCGUUUGCUAAAGUGAUUGAAUAUUAUCACUUGCUUGGACAAGUGAUGGCUAAAGCGCUUCAAGAUGGACGACUCUUGGAUCUGCCGCUGUCUAUGGCUUUUUAUAAGCUUGUGCUUGGUCAAGUAAUACAAAUUUGAGUUCUAUAUUGUCAAAUUUUACCUGCCUCUGUUUAACAUAUUUCCCUGUCAUGGGAGGUUCAUUUGGUCAAAAUUUCAAAUUUAUGAUCCCUUGCAGGAUCUGGAUUUGCAUGACAUCCUAUCAUUUGAUGCUGAACUUGGGAAGAUUUUGCAAGAACUGCAAGUCCUUGUUUGUCGGAAACAGUAUCUGGAUGGUGUGAGUGGUAAUGGUUGCGAUGCAACUGGUGGCUUAUGUUUCCGUGGUGCCCCUGUUGAAGAUCUCUGUCUAGAUUUCACCCUUCCUGGCUAUCCGGAUUACAUUCUGAAAUCAGGCUAUGAAAAUGUCCUUGUAAUACUUUUGGCUAUUUGAUUGUUCAUCAUUCAACAUUUUGUUUUAAAUUUGGUUCAUGUUUUUGCUAUGUUUCUAAGAUCAUUAUCCUUUUUGUCUAAUUGGUUAGGUGGAUUCCGAUAACUUGGAUGAGUACGUAUCAUUGGUAGUUGAUGCAACUGUCAAGUCAGGGCUAAUGCAUCAAAUGGAAGCAUUUAGAGCAGGGUUUAAUCAGGUUUCCAACUCUUUCUCUUUCUCUUGCUCUUGCUCUUGCUUUAUACACACACACGUCUUCAAAUUCUUCCAUGCAUAUUUUGGGGUGUUGAUUUUGCUUCUGAUGUUAGUGUGUAUUCUACAUUGAGCUUGUACUGGUAAAUCAGUGCUAUUGUCAUUCUGUUCUAGUUGUAAAAGGACUAACGUCUUGGACCAACUGCUAAACUAAUUAUUUUUGCCAUCUAAGGAUGGUUUUGUAUUUUCUUUUUAUGUGAAUAUGACCAUGUGUUUUUGCACUAUAAAAUAGGUUGGAAAGUCACUUUUAUAUGCAGAAAAUGCAUGACCCAUGGUUUUGGAAAAAUGAGUUUGUAGCUUUAUCCUAGAAAGAAAAUUGUCAGCUGCAUUCUAUAAAACAAAAUUGUCUUGAAUUUUCUUGGAGCUACCUCAACUUAGAAGUCAAAUGGCUAAUAUCUUUGGAUACAAGGACAUGAUGUUCUUCUUUCAUUUUGAUUUUGGAUGGAUAUAAUUACUAAUCAUUCCAUGGUGUUGUUACGGCACACUGAGAUGGUUUAUUUUCAUUAUUUCUCGUCACUUGUUUGAAAUAUCGUCAUUCUAUAAGGAAAGUUGUUGAUUGCUCUGAACUCUUGACACUGCAAUUUAGGAGGUAUUCUGUGGCUGUUGGAAAUGAAAAUUUUUCUCAUAUGCCAGCCUCAUUCCUACCAUGCUAUUAAGAUCCAAUCCUUAUUUUUAAAUGCUUAUGGUGCUUUACCUUGUUCCUCUUCUCUAGUUAUUUUUUAUUUUUUGUUUUUUGUCCAGUUUCUGUGUGUUAAUUUACCUGUACUUUCUGACUUCUAGGUUUUUGACAUUUCAUCUCUGCAAAUAUUCUCUCCACAUGAAUUAGAUUACUUGCUCUGUGGCCGUAGAGAAUUGUGGAAGGUAAUUUCAUUUUCUAUAUUUUAUUUCUGUAGAAACAAAUCAUGGUUUUCUAUAUUUUAUUGUUGUAGAACAAAUCAUUGUGAAAACAUAUAUCAUGUUUUUUAAAUUAUGUAACUUCCCCAUUGUUGAAGAUGGAGACACUUGUUGAUCACAUAAAGUUUGAUCAUGGAUACACUGCCAAGAGCCCUGCGAUUAUCAAUGUAAGAUUCUUCCUAUAUUUGGGGCAUUUGGAUUUAGUGGGAAACAGGGUGUAAUGAUAACUCUUAUAUAUUGACUGCAUGAUUUGUUUAUUGUAAUGCCUUUGCUUUCUAGUUACUUGAAAUCAUGGGAGAAUUCACUCCUGAGCAGCAGCAUGCAUUCUGCCAAUUCAUUACUGGUGCACCUAGGCUUCCUCCUGGAGGUCUGGCAAUGUUGAAUCCAAAGUUGACCAUUGUGAGAAAGGUAUAACUCGGUAUUUAUGCCAAUCAGUUAUAAAACACUGGUGUGCAUGUGUAGCAUGGUUUCGAAGUUGUAAUGGUGUUCUCUCCUGCUUUUGGUAAACAGCAUUCCUCAACGAUGAACCCGGCAACCAACAUGAUUGGACCUUCUGAAUCAGCCGACGAGGAUUUGCCCAGUGUUAUGACUUGUGCCAAUUACCUCAAGCUUCCUCCCUAUUCCACCAAGGUAAAAAAAUUAAUAUAUGGUAGAUAUGUUGAAAAUAAAAAUCAGAUACCUAACUGCAUGCUCACACAUGCUCUAUUUAAAUUUACCUUUCCCCUUUCCUUUCAGGAUAUUAUGUAUAAGAAACUACUUUAUGCCAUCAAUGAAGGACAGGGAUCUUUUGAUCUGUCGUAGUCUCCAUCAUCACUAAUCAGGCUGAAUGAUAAGAUUCUGUCAAAAUGCUUUUGGCCUCCACAGUUAUAUCUUGCUAGUUUCAAUGUUGGAAGCUUGUUUGAUUUUGUCAGAAAAUUACUUUCAUGGAGUAGAAUCUCAGAAAUCUUGGGAAGAUGGAUGGGGCCAAGUUCCGUUUAAAUCAUAAUGUGGCGAUGGACUGGACUGGUUGGUGGAGGCACUGCAUUCUCUCUCCUUCCCUCUCCAUUCCGUCUCUGUAAAUUUCAAUAUAUCUUGCACCUUUUUUAAGAAAUGAUUUCUUCAUUUGUCAAUGAUACCAACCCCCAUGCUGAAUAUUAGCAGCAGCAGUUGUCGGCUUUCUUUUUAAAUUUUUUGUUUCAGUGGGGAGAAUAAUUUAUGGACACAAGACAAAAAUAGGAAGAAAAUCUAUGAAAUAUUGACGUCUUUAAUUUCCCUACCGCCAACCUCCAAAUUUCAAAAUCUAUAUUAUGAAUGCCAUGGAAGUCCGUGGAUGAUGCAUUUUAUGUGGAGUCAAUCCUUGAAUCUUGAUGGAUAAAGCAACCCUAGUGAAUUUCGAUACUUGUGAAGAAUACAUUCUCUUAAGCCAAGCCAUUAUUUUACAACUUUCAUUUCUAUAAUGCCCCUCAAAUUCUCAAUGGAUUGUCCCUUAUACAACACACUGUAAUUCUUCUAAUGGGCACACAGCACCUGGACAGCCAAGGCUUUUGUAAUACCAGAACCUGAAAUUGAAAUUCCAUCCUUGCUAACUAUCUCCUGCUCAACUGGAAUGGAGCAGCUACUUUUUCCCAGGCAAUGCUUCUCCACCACUUUCUAACUAUUGGGUGCAGCACAAUUUCCAGGAAUGAACUCUCAACAGGUGCCUGUUGGAUCACCAAAGCUUAGCCUUUGGCUUCACACCGUCUACAAACAUUUGUAUGUCACUUGCCUCCCUCUUCCAUGACCUCACAUGUGUUGGAUGGUGUUCACUUAUGUAGCAACAGAUCGUAUCUCUGUUCAAAGUUAGGAUCUCUAUUCCAUCUGGGUUUCUUCCUGUUUCCUCGAAGAGAACCAAAAGAUUAUCUGAUGUCUUCAAGAAGGCUCUCGGUACAUGGUAGCUGAAAACAGAGAAACACACAUGGUAAUGAAUUCUAAGCCUCAUCUUCUACAUGUAUAUAAACUAGACUAGCAGAAAUACGGGGGGCAGUGCUUACACUGACUGGGAAGGCUUUCCAAGAGGGGAGAGGUAAGAAACCCAGUAUCAGUCAAUGCUUUUACCAUUUAUCCAAGCCAUGCCUUUGGCCAUGGUGCUCAGUUCAAGAGCAACGGGGACAUCUCCUUCUGGGGCAUCAAAGUAAGCCUGCAAUUCCAAAAGUUAUGCAGGUUGUGUGAAGAGAUGGAGCUUGUCUCCAUUCAAGCCUACCUGAAACAUUGGGGAAAAAAAAUCAUAAAUCUUAAUCCAUUAUUCAUCAGCUGACCAGAAGUAGUUCAGUGGAAAAGGAUAAUAUGCUAACCUUGUGUCCCCAUCCAUUCUUUGGCAGAUCGAUGGUUCUAGUGUUGAGACCUUGGAUGGCUACGUUAUGUACCCCAGCAAGCCUAUGCUCCAUGUAUGAACCACUAUCCUUCACAGAUGAAAAGAGAGAUUCACAAUCACUCCUUUCUUUCUAACACUAGGAAAAGGAAAUUGAUGUGAUUAGAUCUUUACUGGUAAUCCAACCGUGGCACCCAACGGUGCUAUCUGGUUAAGUCCUGCCUUUAAGGUUAUGGGUUUAUUGAACACAAAGCUUUUUUCUACAUUGCUUCCAUGUCUCGUUCCUGUUAGAUAGAAUUCCAUCUUCAUAGUGUAACACUUUCCUGAAUUUUUUUCCAAGGGAGAGAGAGAGAGAGAGAGAGAGAUGAUCAACAAAAUUUUAACUUAAUCACAAUCUACAAGUUAGAGGUUCCCCACAAGCUUUACCCUACUGCAGCCUUCCCCCCUCCAACAAAAUAGCUAGGGGUUAAAAGGGUUUGGCAUAUAAAUUUGUUUAUCCCACAUCACCAGAUGACACGGAAGGUUUGCAGGAGAUGAAAAGAGAAGCAUUACCACAUAUUCUCCAUUUAAAAAUGCAUGCAUCACAUGACCUAGAUUGGAAACCUGAGGGACACGAAGAACAUCUUUCCUGAAAGGCAAGCCGGUGCGUGCCAGCUCAAUGCUGCAAAUAGAAUUACACCGAAUAUUAGUUGAAGCAAUGGAAAUCAAAUAUUGGAAUGGUUAUAAUAAAAUCGAGUAUUUCCCAUUGUUAAAAACUUCUUCAGAUGAUGGGUUAGGAUUUGCUUACUUGGUGGUGUACCACAAGUAGUCUGUAGUAUCCUUGGUCAUGGUCAUCAGUUCCACGGGACUCUUUGUUUUAGUGGGACAUUCUUCAUAAGUUGGCAAUGCAUCUUGGGACAUCUACCAUUGGAGGUUCUUGUUAACACUAUAUUGGGAAACAACCUGUUUUCAUGUUGGGUUCAUUCAAACUAUCGAACACUCAUACAAGAAAUGGGAAUCAUCCAAUUUUUUUCAGUUAUUCUCUUUGUAGUCCUUCAAAUUUUAACCACAUACUUGAAAAGGGAAAGAUCAAGUAAUUGGACGCUACUGUCUGUGUGUUGAAGACGACAGUUUUGCAAUCUGGGAGGUUGCUUAUGGAGUGCUGGGGCAAGUAGUAUUUGGAACCCCUUAAUGUUGUAGUUGUAGGUGUUCUAGUAAUGUUAUUCAACAAGAAAGUAGCACAAAUAUUACUACCUGGCUUUUCGUAGAUUCGGGCCUGCAGGCAUGAUGCACUUCACCUAUCACAAACAUCAUUAGUCUUGUUGCUCUACUAAUGUUCUAAGCAUGAGACUACAUAUACUGAUAAAGCAGCUCUAUAGAAACUUUUUCUUACCUCUAGGUCCUCUCCCAACUUUUGGGCAGAGGUAACUCCCCAAAGAAGAGCUUUCUUAGACAACCUCAAAGCAGCAUGCAAGUCUCGGAGGUGGCCCCAUUUGGUUUCCCUUGGCAAACCUGGAUACAUUUAUGAAAGCAGCUCCUGUGGUGAGUGGGAAAAGCUGAUUUUGUUAAUGUACUUCUUGGUUGGCAUUUUGGAAGAAGGAUUAGCUUUUGAGAGAACAGAUCAUAGCAAUUUUAGCUUCCAAAUGCAAGUACAUGUCAAAAUGCCAACCAGAUGAUGCCAAACUCAUGAAGUUUCAAACAGGCCUAACCAUAUUCAUCAAGAGGAGCUUCAUCAUAGUAGCAAGUCGUAGCAAAGGAGGACGUAGUUCUACCAAAAUUUGUCACACUAUAAUACUGAAACAAAAACAUGAGUGUUUAGGCUGAAAGUAGAAAUACUUUAUAAUAAUUUGUUCAGAAGCUCUCUAAAACAGGGCUGCAACUCUAUACCAUAUAGUAAUUUGCAAGAGUACCAUUCUUAGAGAUGAACAGAGAAUGCAAGAUCUUCUGCUGCCCUUUGAGAUGGGGGGUCUCCAAAUACUCUGUACCUAUAAUCACCAAGGAAUCCAAACAAAAUGCAGUUAGCAUCUUAACCAGACAAUAGGAAGAAAAUACCACUGAAUAUAAUCAUGUGUGAUAAAUGAAGGAAAAACACAUCCCUAGUCAGUGGUUACUUACUGAGCGCUUGUUUGGUCUAUUGGGGCCUGUAAAUGUAUCUCCACAGUUCCUCCCCUUGCAUGUGUUGAUCUGAAACCAUUUUUCUUUUUUCAGAAAUCUUUCCUUCUGGGGAUACUUAAAUUAUUUGAGCUCAGAAAGAUUGAUGCAAGCGGGGCAUAAUGUGCUAACGACUGGAUCAGGAGCAUCCUUUUGCUUGCACAUCACUCAUGGGAUUCCGGUUUUGAGCCCAACAGCCAUAGUCCCGGCCCAGUGAACACAUCGUGUCCCCAUUUCUUUGAAUGCAAUUUGAAUGUGUUGGAUAUUUUGGUAAUUAUGGGUUACAUAUUAACACAUUGUACAUUAAACUAUUUUAUUUUUUAGCUUAAUUAAAUAUAAUCAAUUAAGUUAAUGAUAGACCUUCAAAGUAUCUCUAUAUAUGGAUGGUAUGGGUUUUACAAUGUGUAGAGACCAAUUUUAUUUUAUUUUAUUUAUUAAUGAUGGACCAAUAAAUAAAAUAAAAUAAUAAAGGAUAUAAAUAGGGUUAUAAUCCUGGUCUAAAUGAGAAGAGAUAGAAAAAUUGUUAAUUAUUCACAUCCCAUUAGUGAGUAAUUUCAAGGUUAUAAUACUCGUUUCAAACAUGGAAGACAAAAUCCAAGUACAUAAUUUCAAUGGAUUUAGGUAUGUCUUCCAAUGUUAUUAUCUUAUAGAUUUAACAUGAGAUUCUGACAUAUAUACUAUUAAGUUAAUUAGAUUCUAUAAUCAUUCUGUAUGAUUUGCAAUUUUCCAACAAGUGGUAUUAGAGUCACUCUUGUUAAAUUUAUUAGGUUUUAAUUAAAGUUGUUUCAUGAUGGAUUGAGUUUUUUUUUUUUUUUUUAAUCUGACUUCCAUUCAUUCAUUCACCUUUUUUGUGUGUUCGGUUGUAAGGAAAAUUUUCUUUAAUCCAAAUUCCCCGAAUUUUCUAUUGUAAAUAAUUUUUAUAAAUAAUUUUUUUAAUAAAUAUCAAUAUUGUUUAUUAAAAUAUAUUUUCUCUGGAAUUGUUUGCAUAUUUUUAAAGAUAAAAUAUAAGUGUUUUUGAAAAUUUUGGGGAUAAAGAUGAAGUGGUUGGGUGAUAAUGACCUAUUUUUCGUCAUUAUCUUGUUACAUUUUGUUAAGUUUUUAAUUAAUAAUGUCAUUUGAACAUUGAGUCUAAGUCUUUUAAUAGGGUAUUUUGGACAUUGGGACUGAGUCUUUUAAUAAGGUGAUUUUGACAUUCAACCUAAAUUAUUAUAUUGGGUCAUUUGGAUUAUUGGACCCAAGUCUAUUUAAGUUGGAUCAAAUUUUGGGUAGGGUUAGACCUUUGAUUGAUCCGUUUGAUCGAUCCAGUGGACCUUUGAUUGACCCAUUUGACUGUUGACCAAAAAAAAACUUGGAAUGUUUAAAAUCCAAUAUUUCAAUAUAAAUUAAAUUGAAAUUAUAUGUCACAAAAAUGACCUCUAUUAUGUAAAUUUAUUUAUCUUGAAGGGUGUGGAUUUUAUUAUGGAAUUCUAUGAGUAGUAUCUAAAUCUAUGCAUAAAAUAAUCGGCCCAAAGGAAGGUUAUUUUUUAUCAAAUUUUAGACACUUGUGAUAGUAAAUAUGUGAUAUUUUAGUGAUGUCCAUGCAUGCAAUAAGUCGAUCCAAAGAUAGGCAUAUUGUUGGCAAGAUUUGUUAUCAGUAUUUAUUAACUAUUUUUUAUAAUAGUACCAUUUACAAAUUGUUAUUUUAUCCAAAGACUAAAUAUCAAUGUUGUGUUAGGUAUAUUGUAAGAGCCCAUUUUAUUGCUUUUAUGUCAUAUAUAUAUACAUGUAGUUAAUUCUUACAUGCUUAAAGUAAAUGACAUUGUUGUAUAUUGUGAGCUUAUUAUUUUAUUCUGUAUACAAUUAAUGCUUCUGUUAUAUUUGCCAACAUAAACAACAUUCCAAUGCUUGAUGACACUAACUUCGGAAAAUGGAAAGAACAUAUUACUAUUUUACUUGUGUGUAUGGAUUUAGACUAUGCGAUCCUGAUUGAACGACAAUCUGUCCUUACUAAUGACAGUACUACGAAACAAAGGGCUAACUUUGAAAAGUGGGAGCAUUCUAACUACAUGAGUCUUAUGAUCAUGAAGCACUCUAUGGAAAUGUCUAAUCUUGUUGCUUGAUUGAAGGCACUAAAGUUGGAAUUGUCUGAUGACAUCCUUGUGCACUUGGUCUUGAUCUCUCUCCCUGCACAAUUUAGUCCUUAUAAGAUAAGUUAUAAUACUCAAAAGGAAAAAUGGACUCUUAAUGAGUUCAUUGCUUAAUGUGUGCAAGAGGAAGAGAGAUUGAAACAAGAAAAUAUAGAAAGUGUUCACUUAGCUACUACCUCUUAUGACAAAACUGCUAACAAAAAAAGGAAAAGAAGCAAUAGCAAUAAAGGAAAAAAAGUUGUAGACAAUGGGACCUCACAGCCUAAGGUGCAACGGAAACAAGAUAAGAUCAUCAUUUGUUUCUUUUGCAAGAAAGAUGGACAUGUGAAGAAGGAUUGUCCUAAGUAUGGAAAAUGACUUGUCAAAAAAUAUAAACUUCUCAAUUUUGUUUGUUUUAAAGUUAACUUGGCUUUAAUACCAAAUCACACUUAGUGGAUAGAUACAGGUGCAUACUCACACAUAAGUGUGACAAUGUAGGGUUGUCUAAGUAGUCGAGUGCCAAUUGAUGCUGAAAGAUUUAACCAUAUGGGAAAUGGUAACAAAGCUCUUAUUGAGAUGAUUGGUUUAUUUAGAUUGCAAUUAGAAUUUAGUUGUUAUUUGGAUUUAGAUGACGCUUUUUAUGUAUUGUCAUUUAGAUGGAAUUUGGUUACUCUUGUUCAUUUGGAAAUGGAAAAAUGAGUUUUUUUCAAUAUUCAAAUAUGGUUGGUACAAGUUCUUUAGUUGAUAAUCUAUACAAAUUAGAUAUUAACGUCUUACAUAUUAAUGAAUCCUUGCAUGCAAGUGAUUGUGGUACAAAACGUAAGUUAACUUAUGAGAAUUCUUCCAUGUUGUGGCACAAACGUUUAGGACAUAUUUCUAAACAAAGGAUUCAAAGACUUGUGCCAGAAGGAAUUCUUGAUUCCCUUAACUUUUCAAAUUUGAAAAGUUGCAUUGAAUGCAUUAAGGGAAAGCAAACAAACAUUAGAAAAAUUGGUGCCAAUAGAAGUUUAGGUGUCUUGAAAUUAGUUCAUACUGAUAUUUGUGGUCCAUUCCUUACGGCUUCUUAGAAUGAUCAAUAGUAUUUUAUUACUUUCAUAGAGGAUUAUUUUUGUUAUGGGUACCUAUAUUUGUUCAUGAGAAGUCUCAAUCGUUGGACGUUUUCAAAUCCUAUAAAGCUGAAGUUGAAAAUAAACUUGGAAAGAAAAUUAAAGUCGUUAAAUCUGAUCGUGGUGGUGAGUACUACGGUAGAUAUGAUGGAUCAGGUGAACAACAUCCAAGACCUUUUGCAAGAUACUCACAAGAAUGUGGCAUUGUUUCUCAGUACAUCAUACCAGGGACUCCAAGUCAAAAUGGUGUAGCUGAUAAACGAAAUUAGACCUUAAAGGAUAUGGUAAGAAGUAUGAUAAAUCAUUCUUCCUUACCAGAAUUACUUUGGGGAAAAGCUAUAAAAACUGCAAUUUAUAUCCUUAAUCGAGUUCCAAGCAAAAUAAUAGCUAAAACCCCAUAUGAGCUAUGGACUAAAAAGAAGCCUAGUAUUAGGCAUCUUCAUGUUUGGGGUUGUCCAAUUGAGGCAAGAACAUAGAGGCCUAAUGAAAGAAAACUGGACUCAAGAACAGAAAGUUACUACUUUGUUGGGUACUUAGAAAGGUCAAGGUGUUUUAAGUUUUAUGAUUCCUCGAGCAAAUUAUUUUUUGAGACGGGUAAUGCUACAAUCAUUAAGGAUGUUGAAUAUGGUGGGAGUACUGGACACAAAAGUUUUGUCUUUGAAGAGGAAUAUGUUAUUAUUUCUACAGUUGCAACUGAAAAUGUUCAGGUAACUAUGCUUGGCCUUAUUCAGGAUGUAAAUCCAGAAAGUCCAGACACUCUUGAGUUACCUCCUACUCAUAAUGAAGAACCCACUCCUAUUCAUGAGGAGGAACAACAACAACCUCAAUUGGAAGUACCAUUAAGGUGAUGCACUAGGGAGAGGAGAACGACGAUUCUAGAUGAUUAUAUCAUGUAUCUCCAAAAACAUGAGUUUAAUAUGAGACUAGAAGAUGAUCAAAUAUCUUUCAAUCAAGCCAAACAAAGUGUAAACUCCCAGAAAUGGAUAGAAGCCAUGAAAGAUGAGAUGAAAUCAAUGAAAAACAAUGAUGUUUGAGAUCUUGUCAAAUUGUCUGAAUGAGCAAAACUAAUUGGUUGUAAAUGAAUUUAUAAAACCAAGCAGGAUUCAAAAGGCAAUGUCGAAAUAUAUAAGGCACGUCUAGUCAUCAAAGGUUUCACUCAAAAUGAAGACAUUGAUUAUAAAGAGACUUUUUCUCCAGUUUCAAUGAAAAACACUUUUAGAAUCAUUAUGGCAUUUGUACCUCAUUAUGAUUUGGAGUUACAUUAGAUGGAUGUGAAGACUGUGUUUAUCAAUGGUGACAUUGAAGAAACCAUAUACAUAGUGCAACCAAAGAAUUUUGAAUCCAAAGAGUAAAAACAUUUGCUAUGCAAAUUA